Equus caballus (horse) is the source of this 2255-nucleotide long non-coding RNA. The record is from Ensembl. NCBI's taxonomy places the organism in Eukaryota, Metazoa, Chordata, Mammalia, Perissodactyla, Equidae.
GCCUGUGCAACUGACGUCACUGCCAGGCGCCCGGCGGCACGUUGGCCAGGUCUUCUGCAGGCUUUCCAGGGACAAAAAUGGCCAUGGCCAGCGGUUUUUACCUGCGCUACUACGUAGGGCACAAGGGGAAAUUUGGACACGAGUUUCUGGAGUUUGAGUUUCGACCGGACGGGAGAAACGUUGAAGACCGCUGAGAGCAGCAUGAGUAGAGGGCGAGGUGGAACUGCCUGCUGCCCAGGAAAGCUUAGAUAUGCCAACAACAGCAAUUACAAAAAUGAUGUCAUGAUCAGAAAAGAAAUCCUUAUUGAUUCUUUGGAUUUCCGUUUAGUAGGCACCAGGAGCUUGAAAUUGUAAUUGGAGAUGAACACAUUUCUUUUACCACAUCAAAAAUAGGUUCUCUUAUUAAUGUAAAUCAGUCAAAGUAAGUGUGUUAAAGCAGUUUGACUAAAUUGAUAAAAUUUAUUAUCUCUAAUAGAGUUAGAACUAUAGCCAGGUUUUAAGAUUAUUUCAAUGACACCCUAUCAGUUUAUUAUGCAGCUGUAAUUUUGAUUCUUAUGUCAUUAAAGACUUGUUAUCAAAGAAGUUAGCAGUGUAUUUAAUUGAUUGCCAAAAAAUUCUUAAUCUGAAAACAUAAUAAUGCCCAAGUUUUAUUAGCUGCUUUUUUGGUAAAAAUCUGUAAACAGUGUCACAAAAUUUAAAAGAAAUCCUUAUUGGGUUAUAUCAGCCUCAUUAGCCCCAUAUCACAUCAUUUUCCUCUAGUUCCAAUAAAUGGGAAAAAUCCAGUAGAGCUUAAGUAUGGUUUUAGCUACCUCAUCCUCCCAAGUUCUAGGUCCCUGUAGCACAUACCAUUGUCUUUGUGUGAAAAAUCUGUUUCCAGUUCUUUCUUUCUACUCUUUCCCCUUAAAAUGUCCUCACAGUGCUUUUUCCUAUCACUUUAAAUUGUAAUAACUUAUUUGUUUGCUUUGCUGGUUUGCAUGUGAGCUCCCUGAGAACCUUGCUGUGUCUCCAAAGUUAGCACAGUGCCUGGCUCACACUUAGGAGCUUUAUGAAUAUUUAUUAGAGGAAAGGAGAAAGGAAUGAAUGCCUCAUAACUGUUGGGUACAAAAGGCUGCGUUCAUAGAGACUGACCAGACAUUUUUAAACUAUCAAAUUUAUUUUCCGACAGUUGAUAAGAAUGUGGCAUUCAUACCCACUGGGAUUGUAAGUUGGUACAGUGUUUUUUGGAAAGCAAUUUGAUAAUAUGCUUUAAAAGCUGUUGAUAUUUUACUCACCUUUGCCCUAGUAAUUUCCUUUCUGAGCAUUUCUUCUGGGGAAAUAUUCUCAAAUAAUGAAAAAGCUGUUAUUCAUAAAGAUGGUCAUUGAAGCCUUAUUUAUAAUAGGAAAAAAAUCCAAAUGUCUAACAAGGAGAGAAUUGUUAAAUUAACUAAAAAUUAUUUGUGAAAUUUUUUAAUGUAAAGGAAAAUAAUGUUAAAAAGGGCACAGGGAAUUAUUUUAGUUAUUAAAAAAAAUAGAGCCACAUCAAAAUAUUUAUAGUUACUCCAUGUGGAGUGACAUAUAGUAUUAUGAGUAUUUUUUAUAUCUUUAUAAUUUUAUCUGAUUUAUACAUUUUUGUGAUACAUAGCUAUUACUUUUAUAAGAAAAUAAACACUAAAAUAUGAAAUGAAUACUGGAGAAGAAAAUUUAUAUUUCUUUCUUACAGAAAAGAUAGAGAUGGUAAUUGUUCAGUAUGUUCAUUGUAGUUACCAGCAUAUUCUCCCUUUCUCCUUGCUUCCUUUAAGUUAAUUUUUUAGGUUUUUGGUUUUUGUUUUGUUUUAGGAAUUAACUUACAAAAUUAUGUUGUUUCAUUCUAGAAACCAGAAAGUAACUCUUACCUUUUUAAAUUUUAGGGAUCCUGAAGGCCUUCGAGUAUUUUACUAUUUGGUACAGGACCUGAAAUGUUUAGUUUUUAGUCUUAUUGGAUUACAUUUCAAGAUUAAGCCAAUCUAAGUUGUAUGUUUUUUUUAACUGCUUUUAUGUUUAAUUAAGGGAUGGGUAAGGGAGGGCUUAUUUGUCAUUUACAAUACUGAGAUUUUUAUGAAUGUGAAGCAGACAAAUUUUUUUGGUAUGCAAACAAAGUAAGAAAAUACAUAAACAAGCUUGAUUGUUAUCCUCACCUGGGUCCAAGUGGGUUGGACAGUCCCCACACACAUUAAAUUCUGUAAAUAAAAGCCACUUUGCUUUGAAAUUGUGCUCCAAUAAAAUAUAUCAAAGCCUGG